RNAcentral lists this ribosomal RNA (379 nucleotides) under uncultured bacterium. Its description in RNAcentral is "bacterial SSU rRNA". It matches the Rfam family "Bacterial small subunit ribosomal RNA", at positions 521 to 898 of the family's 1533-position model. The record is from RNAcentral.
UAAUACGUAGGUGGCAAGCGUUGUCCGGAAUUAUUGGGCGUAAAGCGCGCGCAGGCGGUCUUUUAAGUCUGAUGUGAAAGCCCACGGCUCAACCGUGGAGGUUCAUUGGAAACUGGAAGACUUGAGUGCAGAAGAGGAGAGUGGAAUUCCACGUGUAGCGGUGAAAUGCGUAGAGAUGUGGAGGAACACCAGUGGCGAAGGCGACUCUCUGGUCUGUAACUGACGCUGAGGCGCGAAAGCGUGGGGAGCAAACAGGAUUAGAUACCCUGGUAGUCCACGCCGUAAACGAUGAGUGCUAAGUGUUAGAGGGUUUCCGCCCUUUAGUGCUGCAGCUAACGCAUUAAGCACUCCGCCUGGGGAGUACGACCGCAAGGUUGAA